GUUGAAACACCACUUCUCAUAUGAUCACCGAAGUUAAGCACCAUCGAGCCUGGCCAGUACCUAGAUGGGUGACCGCUGGGGAAUACCAGGUGCUGUAAG
This is a non-coding RNA of Acanthosepion pharaonis, 99 nucleotides long. The record is from the annotation of a GenBank genome assembly. NCBI's taxonomy places the organism in Eukaryota, Metazoa, Mollusca, Cephalopoda, Sepiida, Sepiidae.